Molecule: unclassified non-coding RNA, 305 nt
Filed under: Hevea brasiliensis (rubber tree)
Lineage: Eukaryota; Viridiplantae; Streptophyta; Magnoliopsida; Malpighiales; Euphorbiaceae
Source: RNAcentral
CGACUAUCUCCUGGUGAGUCCCCUGCUCAUCUUCAACCCUCGAAGAUCGAGCCUCCAAUUAUAGUAAUCACCUUCGUCGUCGUUCCCGCUGCCGAUGCCGAUCCAAUCACAUCAGCGCCAUGGGACCCGGCUGUCCUCCCCUCACGUGCUCAUCUAAUUGAUCUCGCUCCGUCCACCAUACAAAUCUCUCAAUCCCCUCCAAUCUCGAACUCUGCCGCUAUGGAGAAGUACGAGAUGGUGAGGGAUAUCGGGGCCGGCAACUUCGGCAUCGCCAGGCUCAUGCGGAACAAGGUGACUAAGGAGCG